RNAcentral lists this ribosomal RNA (427 nucleotides) under Escherichia coli. Its description in RNAcentral is "partial 23S ribosomal RNA". It matches the Rfam family "Bacterial large subunit ribosomal RNA", at positions 609 to 1036 of the family's 2925-position model. The record is from RNAcentral. Lineage: Bacteria; Pseudomonadati; Pseudomonadota; Gammaproteobacteria; Enterobacterales; Enterobacteriaceae.
UGUAUAAUGGGUCAGCGACUUAUAUUCUGUAGCAAGGUUAACCGAAUAGGGGAGCCGAAGGGAAACCGAGUCUUAACUGGGCGUUAAGUUGCAGGGUAUAGACCCGAAACCCGGUGAUCUAGCCAUGGGCAGGUUGAAGGUUGGGUAACACUAACUGGAGGACCGAACCGACUAAUGUUGAAAAAUUAGCGGAUGACUUGUGGCUGGGGGUGAAAGGCCAAUCAAACCGGGAGAUAGCUGGUUCUCCCCGAAAGCUAUUUAGGUAGCGCCUCGUGAAUUCAUCUCCGGGGGUAGAGCACUGUUUCGGCAAGGGGGUCAUCCCGACUUACCAACCCGAUGCAAACUGCGAAUACCGGAGAAUGUUAUCACGGGAGACACACGGCGGGUGCUAACGUCCGUCGUGAAGAGGGAAACAACCCAGACCGCC